This 548-nucleotide unclassified non-coding RNA is filed under the name Corethrogyne filaginifolia var. californica. RNAcentral's name for it is "partial external transcribed spacer". Lineage: Eukaryota; Viridiplantae; Streptophyta; Magnoliopsida; Asterales; Asteraceae. The record is from RNAcentral.
UCGAUGUAUGUUUAUUGUCGGAUGAUUUGGUUGCGUGAUUUACACUAGACAUACAUCGACUUAUAUGGCGCUUAUCGAUAUAUGGCUUGUGUGGGGCGAGAGGCACAACGUGGAACUGUAAAAGGAUCUGCAAGGGUUUCCCAAACCACACAAGCCAUACAUCGGUUGUAAGUCGGAUCGCUUAUCGAUGUAUGGCUUGUGUGGGGCGUGAGGCACAACGUGGAACCGUAAAAGGAUCUGCAAGGGUUUCCCAAACCACACAAGCCAUACAUCGGUUGUAAGUCGGAUGUCGCUUAUCGAUGUAUGGCUUGUGUGGGGCGAAAAACACAACGUAGAACUGUAAAAGGAUCUGCAAGGGUUUCCCAAACCACACAAGCCAUGCAUCGGUUGUAAGUCGCAAAACAACCACAAUUGUUGUAUUGCUUGGAUGUGUGCGAGAGGCACAACGUGAAUCCGUAAUAGGCCAUGGCGGGUGUCUUUUUAAGCAUCCAAACCAUACAACAAUUGGGGGGAUUAUUCUAGCGGGUUUCAUUCUCUUCGUAUCGUGC